GGAAACAAAAAAACGUCAUGCAGCAGUGCAUUCGCUUGCUAUGUAAACGCAUAUACCAUCUCAAUCUGCAUUUUCCUCAACAAAUGAACUUUGCAGUAACUAUAUUUAUCUGACAUCCCAUGAUCAUCUUGUAUUUCCACAUAUUUUAUCUUAGCAUACUCAUUUAUGUGGUAAAUUUUAGAAUAUUUUUUGUAUGCUUCUUUACUCAUAAAAAUGUGAUCCUUUUAUGAAAUCAGAAGAAUAAACCUCCCAUAAUUAUGACAAGUAGAGAAUAAUCUCCCCAUUUAUGUUACAGUUACAGAAUUAACCCCAACCUAUAGCCUAACUUCAAGAUUAAUCACAUCCAAAAAUUAUCAUAAUUAAAACUCCAAUCUCUCAAAACCCUUAAAAUCUAAGAAGUUUGUUAGUUUUCACAUUAUAAAUGGCACUUAGAAUCUUCAACACGUAUAUCAUAAAACUUGGCCCCGUUUAAAGUAAUGUGGAUGCGUUUCACAGCAAACUUCAAAAGAGAAUGUCAAGGUAACCAUCUGGAUUCUGUUCUUCAAGAUUUUUUUUUUUCACUACCCCUUUU
Molecule: unclassified non-coding RNA, 571 nt
Filed under: Hevea brasiliensis (rubber tree)
Lineage: Eukaryota; Viridiplantae; Streptophyta; Magnoliopsida; Malpighiales; Euphorbiaceae
Source: RNAcentral